AGAGUUUGAUCCUGGCUCAGGACGAACGCUGGCGGCGUGCUUAACACAUGCAAGUCGAACGAUGAAGCCCUUCGGGGUGGAUUAGUGGCGAACGGGUGAGUAACACGUGGGCAAUCUGCCCUUCACUCUGGGACAAGCCCUGGAAACGGGGUCUAAUACCGGAUAACACUCCUGCCUGCAUGGGUGGGGGUUAAAAGCUCCGGCGGUGAAGGAUGAGCCCGCGGCCUAUCAGCUUGUUGGUGAGGUAGUGGCUCACCAAGGCGACGACGGGUAGCCGGCCUGAGAGGGCGACCGGCCACACUGGGACUGAGACACGGCCCAGACUCCUACGGGAGGCAGCAGUGGGGAAUAUUGCACAAUGGGCGAAAGCCUGAUGCAGCGACGCCGCGUGGGGGAUGACGGCCUUCGGGUUGUAAACCUCUUUCAGCAGGGAAGAAGCGAAAGUGACGGUACCUGCAGAAGAAGCGCCGGCUAACUACGUGCCAGCAGCCGCGGUAAUACGUAGGGCGCAAGCGUUGUCCGGAAUUAUUGGGCGUAAAGAGCUCGUAGGCGGCUUGUCACGUCGGUUGUGAAAGCCCGGGGCUUAACCCCGGGUCUGCAGUCGAUACGGGCAGGCUAGAGUGUGGUAGGGGAGAUCGGAAUUCCUGGUGUAGCGGUGAAAUGCGCAGAUACCAGGAGGAACACCGGUGGCGAAGGCGGAUCUCUGGGCCAUUACUGACGCUGAGGAGCGAAAGCGUGGGGAGCGAACAGGAUUAGAUACCCUGGUAGUCCACGCCGUAAACGGUGGGAACUAGGCGUUGGCGACAUUCCACGUCGUCGGUGCCGCAGCUAACGCAUUAAGUUCCCCGCCUGGGGAGUACGGCCGCAAGGCUAAAACUCAAACGAAUUGACGG
This 893-nucleotide ribosomal RNA is filed under the name uncultured bacterium. RNAcentral describes it as "bacterial SSU rRNA". It matches the Rfam family "Bacterial small subunit ribosomal RNA", at positions 8 to 916 of the family's 1533-position model. The record is from RNAcentral.